AGUUCCCCUGCUUCUUCAGCUGGCUGUCAGUGCUUGCCAUGUCUCGGCCCGGGCAUGAGCUGAGUGGGACCCUGUCUUAUCGGACUGAGCCCAGGAAAAGCCCCCGUCUCAGCCUCUUCCACCUGAAGCUGACAGACACUGCUCUCCGCUGCCUGCAGGACUUCCAGAAAGGACAGGGUUCAGGAGCCUCAUUGCCACAGCCUGUUAUUACCUUCCAGGAAAACCAGGGGUACAUCAAGAUUCCUUCUCCCAUCUCUGGUUCAGAUGACAGAGUUCGGGUCUUUGCCUUCUACCUCUCUAGAGAGAUUAAAGAUAAACCUCAGUCAAGUUUCGAGUGCAUUAGACAGGGCACCUCAUGGACUGGAGAGAAACAGCUGACUUGCAUUGGCACUAUACAGGAUAAAAUCACCGUUUGUGCUACUGAUGAAUCCUACCAGUUAACACGUGACCGCAUGUCUCAGGUAGAGAAGGAAACAUGGAGCAGGACUGCCAUUGAGAUCAAGCCUGAAGCAUCGCACCGAAGUAAAUGUGUAAAGAUGCCCUGUAAGCACAAUAUGGAGUCCGGCACAGAGAGUUCCUCACCCAGUCAACGUCCUCCAGUAUUCUUAACACCAGCAGCCAAGAAAUGCAACAGAGUGAGUGGAGAGCGAAGACCACUUCAAGAGUGGCUUAUCCAUCUUCUAGCCUUAAAGCCGUGCCGAAAACAUGACCUCAUACAGCGCUUAGAAAAAUCCAACAUGUUUCCCAGAGAUCACACAGAGCUACUAUGUGCACUGGAUGAGGUAGGAUGCUUAAGUCCAAAAGAUGGCAAGUACUGCCUGAAGGAGGAGCACUACAGCCAGGUACAGAGGGACUGGAUGGGAUACACCCCCGAGGAAAGGCAGCGCAUUUCAAAUAGUUUUACAAGGAAACAUCCAAGCAAUUCUUCAUCACAGAAUUACCAGGCAACUGUUGAGAGAGAGAGAACACACUACGGCCUGUUAUCUACUCAUCCCAAUGGCCGGCAUAGACCACCUGAUCCUAAACGCCAGACAGAAGGAGAUAUCCCAGAAAACAAGAACCACAAAAGAAAAAAAUUCUCACAACUGGACAGUCAUUUACCUGAACAGCACUCCACGUCCCUAUCCUCUUCACACUCAUCAACAGCGAAACACCAUCCAAGUCCAGAAAGUAGGAAAAGCGCGGGGUCAAUGCCUGAAAAACACAGUGUUGUUUCUCAUCUAAGUCACAAAAAACAAAAAACACAUCGAACAUUGCAAAAAAGUCAUCAUAGUGAAACAAACAAAAGGACAAAGCCUUGUGAGGAGUCACAAAAUGAGAAAGCUAGAUUUAGGCAGGAGACAAGUCCUGUAUCUCAUUUGGGUGACAGUUCUGACUGGCACAAAAGUGAGAAGAGAGAUUGUGAAUCCAGUGAAGAGGAAGAGGAGGAAGAUGACUGGGAAGAAGAAGCUCUCAUGUUGGAAAGAUGCCUCACAUCUCCUGAAGACCACCAUGACGACUUCUUCGAGCCAAAACUUCAUCUCUGGAAGCAUCUGAAGGACAAACAUCUUUGACUCCACAUUUCUCCAGUGUCCUUCUCUCUUCUACACAAUUUCCCCAUCUAUAUGCUCAAACUGUUAUUAUUACCCCUUUGUUGUCAAACACAGUGUAAGGGCAGGUAGGUAGCUAACUAGGUAGUUAUGUACGAAGGUAGUUAGCUAGGUAGCCAUGUAUGGAUGUAGGUAGCUAGCUAGGUGGGCAGGUAUCUAGGUAAGUAUUUAGCUAGCUAGGUAGAUAGGUAGCCAGGAAUGUAGGUAGGUAGCUAGGUGAGUAGCCAAGUAUGUAGCUACGUAGGUUGGUAGGUAGCCAGGUAAUUAGGUAGCCAGCUGUAGCAAGGCAGGUAGAUUGGUAGCCAGGUAUGUAGAUUGGUAGCCAGGUAGCUAGGUAGUUAAGAAUGUAGGUAGUUAGGUAGGUCACCAUGUGGGUAGUUAUGUAACCAGGUAUGUAGGUAGAUAGAGAGGUAGCAAGACAUUAGGUGGGUACUUAGGUAGCCAAAAUGUAGCCAGGCAUGUAGUUAGGUAGAUAGAUGUAGCCAGACAUGCAGUUAGUUAGUUAGGUAAUUAGGUAGCCAGAUGUAGCCAGGCAUGUAGUUAGGUAGAUAGUUAGGUAGGUAGUUAGGUAGCCAGAUGUAGCCAGGCAUGUAGAUAGGUAGGUAGUUAGGUAGCCAGAUGUAGCCAGGCAUGCAGUUAGGUAGUCAGGUAUGUAGGUAGGAAGGUAGAUAGGUAGCCAAGCAUGUAGUUAGGUAGCUAGGCAGGUAGUUAGGUAGCUAGACAUGUAGUUAGAUAGCUAGGUAGGAAGCUAGAUAGACACUCCUUCCAGGUAAAAAAAGUGAAAAAACUAAACCAUAGACUCACCUAUCCAAAGCAGCGUCCUUUUCCCUCCACAGUGCAGGCACCAAUGAGUAUUGUCAUCGCACCUGUGGUUCGUGGAGGCAGAGGUUGUGUCUUCUGUCAGUGUAAGCCGCAAGCGAGCAUCUUAACACUGACAGGCUGCUUUCACUUGUAUGCACGUGAGCGCAUACAGAUAAAAGCGGCACCAGACCUGGGGCUGUGUGGGCCAAACCUGGGCUCCAGCCCCCAUAGCCCCCCUGGCAAUGCCAAGAGUCGAGGGCCAAUUAUGGAGAGCUGUAAAAAGACCUGGAUUUAACUGUUACUGUUGUCUCACAGAAUUUGAGUGAGAAAAAUGGUGACAUGUUCAAUACUUCACCCACUGUACCAUUAUUCUGAGAACCCAGUUGCCAGUAGGCCAUCAUUUAUAGCCCCCAACAUUACUUCAUAAUAUUAUUGUGAGGAGACAAAUGCCAGCAUGCCAUUAUAAAUAGACCCCAAAAAUGACAGGUUACCUGUAUGAAAUCCCAAAUCUCAGUGUGCGUUAUUUUGAGAGCUCAUUAUUUUUUUAUAUUCUGUUCAUGCAUUUUCUUUCCACCGUUUCUCUGUUAUGCACGCUAUAAUGUGAAUAAUGCAAGCAUGUAUAAAGUGGGGGAAGUUUACCAUGUAAACAUAAAAAAUGUUCCUGUACGACAUGGUUCGGCUAAUCUGUGUCUGCUUUCAGGUGAGUCACUCGGAUUGAUUGAGUUACCUCUGACUCAUCUCUGGUUAGGCAUGAAUAUCAAACAGACGGACAAUACAAGGAGUCUUUCUAUAGAGUCCAUAACUAAAUGGUGAAAUGACGCACAUUGUUACAUAGCUGCUACAAAAUACACACACGACAAUGAUAAUGGGUUCCCUAGCCAUACUAAAUGACACUAUGGGUUUGCAGAAUUCACAUGAUUUGACUAUGAAUUUACUGUAUGAGCUUUAGACAUUAUAGUCAGGAUUGAAAAAACUGUCAGCCAUAAAGAGUGUACAACCAGGUCUUUCACAUUUCAUGUCAAAAGGGUAUCACUGGCCUUGGUGGUCCGGACACCCCUGAUUCCACACUUGUGUAUUGUGCCACAAUAACUUGUUGACUGGACAAGGUUAUAAAGGCAAAUGACAGUGUUAUUUGGAAGCCUUAUGGUAGUGUUAUUUAAGCACUGACUGAUUGUACUAUUUGGGCACAAGGAGGGCAUUAACAAAUAUCACACAGCACCGUAAACAGUCUAAUGCCAGUCAUGAUCACAUAGUUUCCUUAACAACAACUUGAGUAGAUAAUGUAGACUUGUCUGUGACUGGUAUGGUAUAGCAAUUCAAAUAGAAGAGACAGUUCCCAAAACAUUUUUUGUUGAAAGGGGUUAUCCAAAAACAUAGUUGCUUUUUUUUUUCUAAACACAGCACCACACCUGUCCUCAGGUUAUGUGUGGUAUUACAACUCUAUUCACUUUUAUGGGACUGGGCUGCAAGAGCCAUACACCCUUAGGAUAGUUUAGCACUGUUUUUUUAUUUUUUUUGGAAGAAAGCUAUUUUUUUUUCUUAAUCCCAAAUACCCCAAUGAUAAUUCAUUGUUUUAUUCCAGUUCUCCUUCUUCAUGCUUUAUGCUUCAGCCUCAGACUACGGGCUGCACUCUACAAUAGUCUAUAUUAGUGACUGGGCAUCCAACUACAGAUAUAAAGUCUGGAUAUCAGUAAUAGUCACAUGGGUCAUUUUCAGUAACACAACAUGUGUUGGGGAAUUGCUACAUUAGCAAUUCACUAAUAUAACUGUAACCCUAUAGGUAAAGACAAAUACAUGUAUACAUAGGUAUAUAGACAGGUGCAUGUUUAAUGUUCCCCCACCUGACCCUGUACAGGAGCUUGGACAUCUGUCUCCUGUAUUCUUUACUUGUGUACUUAGUAAUAACACCAAUUCCUCACAGAGUCACAAUAACAAAGCAAUGUAUUAGAAAAUGAAAGUGUUGUGUGAAGGACGGGUAAAUACAAACUAUUCGUAUACCCACACAUGCCUUAGGCAAACACACAACAUCGGUACAUGCAUCCAGUCCAGCCUGUGUGGUUACAUUUUAAAAUGGCAAAUUGAAGCUUGAAAAGAUCUAUAAAAGGCAUCGACCCCAGCCUGCCGUGAGCUCUGCUUUUGUGACUGCAAAUGAGGUACGGACCUGGGCCGCAUACCUGUACCAAAGCAAAUAUGAGCUGAUGGUUGCUUCACAGUGUCUUAAAGGCGUCAUCCAACGGUGAUCAGACAUUAGGGAUGAAGAAAUUAACCCUUUACCAGUGGAGAAGAAGCAUUUUAAAGGCAUGGAGGAAAACACAGAAUCAUUAAUCGGUCUAGAUUCGGAGGAGACCUACAAGAAAAGGCCUCAUAGUGUACUUAAGUUAUAAGGACUUACACUUCUGGCUGUUGUGCUGUGGUAAUGACAAUUAAAUUAUUAUCAUCAUUGACCACACGUACACAUAACACUACCAGAAGUCAAGUCAUUUAGGAUGUAAAGCUUGAUAUGGAUGGCCAUUUGGAGCCACACAAUGUAUCUGUCACAACAAGAAAGCUUAUAUGAGAUCUACACAGCAUAGCAUAAGUUUCACAACCUUUUUUUGGUGCACUAUACCUCAGUAUUCCUGCAGUGUCAUCCAUUUCAUCCCAUCUCCCCUGCAUCCAUGCAUUUCAUAACUGCAGCUGGGUUAUGUGGCCACCUGCAAAUAAAAUGCUCAAAAAUGUAGACAGGAUAGCAGUCUCUCCUGGGUUCCUGUGAACUACAUGAUGACAUAAUCAUCUAUCAGAUCCUUUCUGUCAACUCAGACAACUCCCCACCAAGCUAUUUUUGCAUGUCUCCCCAUGCACAGGUUGCUGCUGAAGAGAUCACUGCUGCUCCAACUAUAGAGACCAGGAAAGCAGUGA
Molecule: RNA transcript, 5288 nt
Organism: Hyla sarda
Lineage: Eukaryota; Metazoa; Chordata; Amphibia; Anura; Hylidae
Gene: ELL3
Gene name: elongation factor for RNA polymerase II 3
Exons: 10
Source: RefSeq, a predicted model, not a curated record